UACGGGGGGGGGUAAGCGUUGUUCGGAAUUACUGGGCGUAACGGGCUCGUAGGCGGCCAACUAAGUCAGACGUGAAAUCCCUCAGCUUAACUGGGGAACUGCGUCUGAUACUGGAUGGCUUGGAUCCGGGAGAGGGAUGUGGAAUUCCAGGUGUAGCGGUGAAAUGCGUAGAUAUCUGGAGGAACACCGGUGGCGAAGGCGACAUCCUGGACCGGCAUUGACGCUGAGGCGCGAAAGCCAGGGGAGCAAACGGG
This 254-nucleotide ribosomal RNA is filed under the name uncultured bacterium. Its description in RNAcentral is "partial 16S ribosomal RNA". It matches the Rfam family "Bacterial small subunit ribosomal RNA", at positions 524 to 776 of the family's 1533-position model. The record is from RNAcentral.